RNAcentral lists this long non-coding RNA (946 nucleotides) under Canis lupus dingo (dingo). RNAcentral describes it as "lncRNA (ENSCAFG00020011175.1)". Lineage: Eukaryota; Metazoa; Chordata; Mammalia; Carnivora; Canidae. The record is from RNAcentral.
AUGAUCUUUGAUGUCUCUCCUUUCCUAGUCUUGGAAUUGUGGGAGUAUUCAGGAGGCUCAAUUUUUAUGGUAGUAAAACACCUCUACAAACAAACAAACAAAAGGUUCACCAAAAAUAGAAGAGGACAUCAAACCAACAAAAUGAUCAGGUGCUUCUCCAAUUUAAUUGUUUGGAAGCAGUCACUGGAAGCAACACUAUGUGACUCAGCUUUGGUGAUACAGUCCAGCUGGGGUCUGACAGAUGCUCAUACUGACCUAGAACCAGUGACGACUCAGAAAGCUACAUAGGAAACAGUCACUAGGAGCCACUGAGAGUGUAGGAGGAAGAUGGUCCUGAUUAUGACCUUUCACAUCACUUUUGUUGACUUUGGAAAAGUCUCAACUAAUCUGUAUUUUAGUAUCUUCACAUAAACUGAGGAUGAUAAUCACUACCCAUUUCAUAAGCUACUGUGAACAGAAUGUAUAUGAAAGUGUUUUGCAAACUAUGGAGAAUUAUGAAGCUUAACAUGUUAGUUAUUUAUGUAAUGACUCUUAGUAUACUCAUUACUUAUAUGUUAAUGUAUGUUGUCAAAGUCCAUCUGAAAAAACCAUGUGCUACUGCUAAAUAAUUCAAACUCUUCAUGUGGUGUUUUAUUCAGCACACUACUUUGGUUACAAGUGACAGAAACUUCAACUUACACUGCCUUAAACAGAAAAGGGAACUGAUAGGCUUGCAGCAAGAUAAAAUUAGGAUAAUGGAAUUAUUAUUAAUUUUUCUAUGUGUGUUAAUAGCACUGUAGUUAUGCUUUAAAAAACCCCUCUGUUCGAAAUACAACAUAUAGUAAUUAUGGGGAAAUUAAAUGAUGUCUAAGACACUUUCUCACUUUGUGUCUCUGUGUCAUAAUUUGAUAGUUUUCAUAAACAUUUCAAAGAUUUCGUUACUAUAUUUGUUAUGGUGAUCUGUGAC